GCCACUGCUAUUGGGGUUCGGCUAAGCCAUGCGAGUGGAGGGCGUCCCGCAAGGGAUGGCCCCGCGGACGGCUCAGUAACACGUCGUCAACCCACCUUAGGGUGGGGGACAACCUCGGGAAACUGGGGAUAAUCCCCCAUAGGCGGGGGAGGCUGGAAUGCGCCCCCGCUGAAAGCUCAGGCGCCCUAGGACGGGACGGCGGCCUAUCAGGUAGUUGGUGGUGUGAC
This 227-nucleotide ribosomal RNA is filed under the name uncultured archaeon. RNAcentral's name for it is "partial 16S ribosomal RNA". It matches the Rfam family "Archaeal small subunit ribosomal RNA", at positions 23 to 245 of the family's 1478-position model. The record is from RNAcentral.